AUUAACAAAAUAAAGUAAAUACAUUAUCACGAAAGAAGGUGAGCUAAACAAAUAUAUUUGCUUAUAAUACGUGGUAUAGUAUUACUAUAAUAUGUGUUUAGGGGUGAUAGGCUUUUCAAGCUUUCUAAUAACUUGAUUCAUAUGAAAAGUAUUUAGUACCAAGAUAUAUCUAAAAAGUUAAGCUUUUAGGUGAUUAUUAAAGACAUUAAAAAUUUUUAAUAUAGUAUAAUAGCUAAUUAGCAAGAAACCUAAUAUUAAUUAUGUGUUUUUAUAAUUAAUAAUGUGAUAGUGUAAGUUGUUUUAACACCUGAUAAUGUUAAUAUUAGUAUUAAUUUAAAUGUGCUAAAGGAACUCGGCAAAUUAACUGCUCAACUGUUUAUCAAAAACAUAGCUAUAUGAAUUAAUAUAUAGUUAUUUCUGCUCCAUGAUUAUUAAAUAGCCGCAGUACCCUGACUGUGCAAAGGUAGCAUAAUCAGUUGGCUUUUAAUUAGAGUCUGGGAUGAAUGAAAAUAUGGGUGGUAGCUGUCUUUAGGAUACUAGUUUGAAUUUAUUAAGCAAGUGCAAAUACUUGCAAAGUUAAAAAAGACGAGAAGACCCUAGAAACUUAAAGUAGUUUUUGUUGGGGCGACAGAAUUACAUUUAACUAAUUUUAAAAGACAUGACAUUUAAUUGAAAGAGUAAGUUACUCUAGGGAUAACAGCAUAAUUUAAACAGUUUGUGACCUCGAUGUUGGACUAGGUAUUACACCCCUAAAGGAAGGAGUGUAACAUGCUCUGUUCGAGCAAUAUUACCUACAUGAUCUGAGUUCA
This 809-nucleotide ribosomal RNA is filed under the name Helix borealis. RNAcentral's name for it is "partial large subunit ribosomal RNA". The record is from RNAcentral. Lineage: Eukaryota; Metazoa; Mollusca; Gastropoda; Stylommatophora; Helicidae.